GUCUCAGGUCGUAUCAGCCUGAAGGCGCUCGAUCUCGUCUGAUCUCGGAAGCUAGCAGGGUCGGGCCUGGUUAGUAUCUUGGAUGGGAGACCACCUGGGAAUCCCGGGUGCUCGAGGCU
RNAcentral lists this ribosomal RNA (119 nucleotides) under Bison bison bison. Lineage: Eukaryota; Metazoa; Chordata; Mammalia; Artiodactyla; Bovidae. The record is from RNAcentral.